RNAcentral lists this transfer RNA (40 nucleotides) under Tuberculatus margituberculatus. Its description in RNAcentral is "partial tRNA-Leu". Lineage: Eukaryota; Metazoa; Arthropoda; Insecta; Hemiptera; Aphididae. The record is from RNAcentral.
AACUUAAAAUUAAUUUAUAAAGAUUAAUCUUUUUUUAGAA